RNAcentral lists this ribosomal RNA (481 nucleotides) under uncultured Cryomorphaceae bacterium. Its description in RNAcentral is "bacterial SSU rRNA". It matches the Rfam family "Bacterial small subunit ribosomal RNA", at positions 28 to 505 of the family's 1533-position model. Lineage: Bacteria; Pseudomonadati; Bacteroidota; Flavobacteriia; Flavobacteriales; Cryomorphaceae. The record is from RNAcentral.
GAUGAACGCUAGCGGCAGGCCUAACACAUGCAAGUCGAGGGGUAACAGGAAAGCUUGCUUUUGCUGACGACCGGCGCACGGGUGCGUAACGCGUAUGCAACCUACCUCAUACAGGAGAAUAGCCCUUGGAAACGAGGAUUAAUACUCCAUGGUAUCAUUCUUUCGCAUGUUAGAAUGAUUAAAGAAUUUCGGUAUGAGAUGGGCAUGCGUCCCAUUAGCUUGUUGGUGAGGUAACGGCUCACCAAGGCAACGAUGGGUAGGGGGCCUGAGAGGGUGGUCCCCCACACUGGUACUGAGACACGGACCAGACUCCUACGGGAGGCAGCAGUGAGGAAUAUUGGUCAAUGGAGGAAACUCUGAACCAGCCAUGCCGCGUGAAGGAUGACGGCCCUAUGGGUUGUAAACUUCUUUUAUAUGGGAAGAAACUUAUCUACGUGUAGAUAACUGACGGUACCAUACGAAUAAGGAUCGGCUAACUCCG